This 73-nucleotide transfer RNA is filed under the name Nesterenkonia halotolerans. RNAcentral describes it as "tRNA-Arg". It matches the Rfam family "tRNA". Rfam says of the family: Transfer RNA (tRNA) molecules are approximately 80 nucleotides in length. RNAcentral also lists the same sequence under 2 other names. The record is from RNAcentral. Lineage: Bacteria; Bacillati; Actinomycetota; Actinomycetes; Micrococcales; Micrococcaceae.
GCCUCCGUAGCUCAGGGGAUAGAGCGUUGGUUUCCGGUACCAAAGGUCGUGGGUUCGAUUCCCGCCGGGGGCA